GUGAAUUCCAUUUUUACGGUCAUGUCAUCAUGAACUUUUCAGUGUGCUUCUUAGAAAAUAGCACGCAGUUUCUUUGUGGAAUCGUAUGGUCAUGGCACGGAUAUUCUUGAGCCAACGCUGAUUUUUGUGCAUGACCAACGUUCUGCUCCAUCCUUAUCUUCCCGACGUAAGCUCAUCCAGUUUCUGCUUCAUCGCUUCGUACACAAAAAUCCAACUUGUCUUACUUCACUGACGAGUUUGAACACUUCAGUGGUCGCUUCCGUGCCGCUGUUACACACCUGCAGUCACUCGCCACGGGAUUAUGCCCAGGUAAUGCAGAAAAGACGUCGAGAAGAUGGACAGCAAAACAUCUCCGUUAUCUCCUAAAUAUCAGCGCAGAUCAUCAUUUGUUGUUGGUAAUAUUUGUGUUUGUGUUAGUUAACCCGUUGUCU
This is a long non-coding RNA of Daphnia pulicaria, 431 nucleotides long. RefSeq lists it as uncharacterized. The record is from RefSeq and is a predicted model, not a curated record. The transcript is spliced from 3 exons. Lineage: Eukaryota; Metazoa; Arthropoda; Branchiopoda; Diplostraca; Daphniidae.